AUGGCUUCCAGAAUCUAUGCUCAUCUCUUCGGUACCUUUCUUCUUCAAUAUCCAUCUCAAAUCGUCUUAUUAGUCGUCGUCGUCUUCUUUUGUGUCCGAUCUCCGCUGCACAUACACACUCGCUGUGAAUCUACCGGAAAAUUAUUCGGAGUAUCUUCAAAGAUGGCAAGAUCGAAGAGAAUUCUGGAGAAACAAGUUCGUACAAGAUUUAUUUUCAAUUCUUCUUUUCUUGUUUUCGAUUCCGUGUUCCUGUUUAUUUGUGUUGUGUUGACGUAG
Molecule: non-coding RNA, 276 nt
Organism: Vicia faba (fava bean)
Lineage: Eukaryota; Viridiplantae; Streptophyta; Magnoliopsida; Fabales; Fabaceae
Source: the annotation of a GenBank genome assembly